This 440-nucleotide ribosomal RNA is filed under the name uncultured bacterium. RNAcentral's name for it is "partial 16S ribosomal RNA". It matches the Rfam family "Bacterial small subunit ribosomal RNA", at positions 338 to 795 of the family's 1533-position model. The record is from RNAcentral.
CCUACGGGAGGCAGCAGUGGGGAAUAUUGCACAAUGGGGGGAACCCUGAUGCAGCGACGCCGCGUGAGUGAUGAAGUAUCUCGGUACGUAAAGCUCUAUCAGCAGGGAAGAAAAUGACGGUACCUGACUAAGAAGCCACGGCUAACUACGUGCCAGCAGCCGCGGUAAUACGUAGGGGGCAAGCGUUAUCCGGAUUUACUGGGUGUAAAGGGAGCGUAGGCGGCACUGCAAGUCCGGAGUGAAAGCCCAAGGCUUAACCAUGGGACUGCUCUGGAAACUGUGGAGCUUGAGUGCGGGAGGGGCAGGCGGAAUUCGUAGUGUAGCGGUGAAAUGCGUAGAUAUCGCGCAGAACUCCGAUUGCGAAGGCAGCGUACCGGCGCCGGACUGACGCUGAGGCACGAAAGCGUGGGUAUCGAACAGGAUUAGAUACCCGUGUAGUC